Molecule: ribosomal RNA, 531 nt
Filed under: uncultured bacterium
Lineage: Bacteria
Description: bacterial SSU rRNA
Rfam family: Bacterial small subunit ribosomal RNA
Source: RNAcentral
UGGGGAAUAUUGCACAAUGGGCGCAAGCCUGAUGCAGCGACGCCGCGUGAGGGAUGACGGCCUUCGGGUUGUAAACCUCUUUCAGCACAGACGAAGCGCAAGUGACGGUAUGUGCAGAAGAAGGACCGGCCAACUACGUGCCAGCAGCCGCGGUAAUACGUAGGGUCCGAGCGUUGUCCGGAAUUACUGGGCGUAAAGAGCUCGUAGGUGGUUUGUCGCGUUGUUCGUGAAAACUCACAGCUUAACUGUGGGCGUGCGGGCGAUACGGGCAGACUGGAGUACUGCAGGGGAGACUGGAAUUCCUGGUGUAGCGGUGGAAUGCGCAGAUAUCAGGAGGAACACCGGUGGCGAAGGCGGGUCUCUGGGCAGUAACUGACGCUGAGGAGCGAAAGCGUGGGGAGCGAACAGGAUUAGAUACCCUGGUAGUCCACGCCGUAAACGGUGGGUACUAGGUGUGGGUUUCCUUCCUUGGGAUCCGUGCCGUAGCUAACGCAUUAAGUACCCCGCCUGGGGAGUACGGCCGCAAGGCUG